RNAcentral lists this ribosomal RNA (410 nucleotides) under uncultured Brachybacterium sp. Its description in RNAcentral is "bacterial SSU rRNA". It matches the Rfam family "Bacterial small subunit ribosomal RNA", at positions 354 to 776 of the family's 1533-position model. Lineage: Bacteria; Bacillati; Actinomycetota; Actinomycetes; Micrococcales; Dermabacteraceae. The record is from RNAcentral.
GUGGGGAAUAUUGCACAAUGGGCGAAAGCCUGAUGCAGCGACGCCGCGUGGGGGAUGACGGCCUUCGGGUUGUAAACCCCUUUCAGUAGGGAAGAAGCGAGAGUGACGGUACCUGCAGAAGAAGCGCCGGCUAACUACGUGCCAGCAGCCGCGGUAAUACGUAGGGCGCAAGCGUUGUCCGGAAUUAUUGGGCGUAAAGAGCUUGUAGGUGGCUUGUCGCGUCUGCCGUGAAAACCCGAGGCUCAACCUCGGGCGUGCGGUGGGUACGGGCAGGCUAGAGUGUGGUAGGGGAGACUGGAACUCCUGGUGUAGCGGUGAAAUGCGCAGAUAUCAGGAAGAACACCGAUGGCGAAGGCAGGUCUCUGGGCCAUUACUGACACUGAGAAGCGAAAGCAUGGGUAGCGAACAGG